GGAGUAAAAGUCGUAACAAGGUUUCCGUAGGUGAACCUGCGGAAGGAUCAUUAUUGUAUAACCGAGGUGCGAGGGCUGUCGCUGACCCGAAAGGUCGUGCACGUCCGAGUGCCCUCACACACAUCCAUCUCACCCCUAUGUGCACCACCGCGUGGGUCCCCCUUUGGCUUGUUCGGAGGGGGGCUUACGUUUUCACACAAACUUUGUAUGCAGUGUAGAAUGUAUUUUUUGUUUUUGCGAUCACGCAAUCAAUACAACUUUCAACAACGGAUCUCUUGGCUCUC
Molecule: unclassified non-coding RNA, 284 nt
Filed under: plant metagenome
Description: partial contains small subunit ribosomal RNA, internal transcribed spacer 1, and 5.8S ribosomal RNA
Rfam family: Eukaryotic small subunit ribosomal RNA (bases 1-53)
Source: RNAcentral